UUUUUAUAUUGUUAUUUCCCAAGUUUAAUGGAAAUAUAAUAACAAUCUCCCUUUCAUUUUUUACUUUUUGAGGUAGUGGUGAGAGGAAUUUGAUUUUAUUGUAAAUCUAGAAGAAAAAAUAGUCAAGAAUAGCAAAGUUCAAUUUUUAGAAAGGAGUGACUAGUCUUAUCAAAUAUUAAAAUAUAUAAUAAAGUUAUAAUAAUUAAAACCAUACUGGCACCAAAAUAAAUAUAUUAAUGAGGCAAAACAUGUGGGCAAAUAAAUUAUAUGUAAAAAUGAAAUAUUUGAUAAUGGCUGGACCACAGAUUAAAGGAGAGGGAAAAUGUUUUGCAAUAUAUGGACUAAUGGAAAAAAAAUCAGCUUUUACACUCAUUAUGUACAUAAAAUACAUUACGCAAACUCAAACCUUAGGAAGUCUAAUGAGACUUUAUUUUAUAGGCUUAAAACAUUGUAACAAAAUUGCAAAGUGAACAGUAAAAUAGAUUUGAUUAUAUUAAACACUUGAUUAGUUAAAACAACAAUGUAACAAGCAAAGGGUGGCCUAUGUGCAAUUGUAAUUAUUUGAACAUAAUAACAAAGAGUUGAUAUGAUUUCACAAGAGCUCAUACAAACUCAUACUUAAUCAAUAUAUGAGAUAAGAAUGAAAUCACAUUUCAUAAAAUAUGAAAUAUAACACAUUUGCAAGCACAUAAAAAUCCAGCCUUAAUAACAAUCAAAUGAAUAUACACUAAAACAAAAAAAAAUGAGUUAUGUUUAGGUUUAAUCAACUAUUUAAAAUUGAUGUCAAGGACUUACACUUUCAGCUGUUACAUUUAGAUCAGCUCAUCCUAUAAGGACAAGUAGAACAAAUAGAAAAGUUGAAUAAAAUCUACCAAACGUUUGUUUAAAAGCACUGGAGAGCUCCACAGUGGAGAGGGCUUGAGAGCAGAGAAUUUAAGAGAGAUCCUAACUGCCUGUCAGAAACUAAAGUAAAACAUCACUUAAAGAAGAGAUGAUCUUCCAGAGGUCUAAAUUAUCUCUACAAUUUUUCACACACAAUGUCUGGCAUUCAAUAAAAUUACCAGGCAUACCAGAAGACAAGAUAAAAUGACUGAAAACAGAGCUAGAGGAGAUCCAGAUAUAGGAGUAACAAAUUUUAAAAUAUCUAUGCUAUCUUUUAAAAAUUAUAUAAGGAGAUAGAAAAUUUCAACAGAUUACUAUUAACUGUGAUAAAGAAUCAAAUGGAAAUUCCAACUCAAUAGUUGGAUAUAAGAGCAGAUUAGAAAUCCUUGAAGAACAAACUUAUGAGCAAUAGAAAGUUUGAUGUUAAUACCUAACAAAGUCAGAAAAGGUGUAUUGGAAAAUGGUUUCUCUCAUGUAACUGGUGACAUGUAAACCUAUAUACCACUUUUUGGAAAUACUUUGAUAAUGUGAAUUCACUAUUUGAACAAAAAAAUUUAUAUCUUUUAACCCAGUAAUCUUAUCUCUGGGAAUGUGCCAUAGGAAAUAAGUUUUUAAAUCCACAGUGCCUCAUGUAUGAAGAUAUUCACUACAGACUUAUGAUAGUAAUAACUAUCUACAGACAAUGUUUAAAUACUUUAUUUCAAUUAAUGCAGGUUAAUCCUCACAACAAUCUAUGGUGCUAGUGAACAUUACUAUCCUCAUUGUACAGAUGAGAAAACUGAAACAUUGAGAAGUCAAGUAACUUGCUCCAGAUUAUAUAGCUAGUGCAUAGAGGGGCAAGGAUUUGAACCAGACUGCCUGGUUCCACAUGCACUUUAACCUGCUUUAUUUAGGCUUUUGAAAGCAACCUAAAUAGCUAACAUUCGCUAAAUAAGUGCAGUAUACCUGGUCUGUGUGACAUUUUGCAGGUAUUAAAAAGUGAACAUUCUGAACCCUUUUAGCAACAUGGCAAAUACUUCUGAUGUGAUGUAUGCAUAUAAAUAUGAUCAAAAGCAAAUAUCCCAAAAGGUUAAUGGCAGUUAUGUCAGGUUAGUAGCACAAUAGUUUCUUUUCUCAUUUUCUCACAUUUUUAGUAAUGUGUGUUGCCUAUAUUAAAAAACAAAUAUUAAAAAGUAGUAGCAUGUAUUGGAUCAGAGCAUGGGCUCAGACUGCCUGUGUCAUCUCUUACUAGAUGUAUGACCAGGGACAAGUUAUUGACCUUUUGUUUCUAAGUCUCUAAGUUUAUCCUGUAAAAUGAAGAAAAUUGUAGUAACUACCUAGUAACAUGAUUGUAAGGAUUAAAUUAUUUAGAACACUAUUUGUUACUUGGAAAAUAUGCAAUCAUAAGCUAUUUUGUUGUUAUUGUUAUUUUACUACCAAAGCUUAUUGUUUCAGAGCCCCUAGGUGACCAGGCAAAAUGGCAGUUCCCUCCAGCUGGUCCUCAGAUGGGCACAUCUAUUAGCCUCUGCUCUUGUAAGAAGUUACCUGCAGAACCCACGUGUGAAUCCUUGUAGGUGGAAGAGUAAACUGUUCCUGUUUCUCCAUCUUGGCAGGAAGCAGAAGUUCUCCUUAGCUGAUUUUUCUUCUUGCCUUAUACUGGGUUCUUUAACACCAGAACAAAAAUAAAUAAAUAAAAGAAUCUUCCAGAAAUUCAUGAAGAGACUUCAGUCUGGGAAUAGAUCACAGGAAUUUUAGUUUGCUGGUUUCCUGCUGCCUUAGGUCAGGAAAGCCUGAACUUUCUCAUCCAACACCUGUUCAAGUCGGAGGAUGCUGAUUAAUUCAUGAUGGAAAGGUAUCAAUUUCACAGUCCAGACCUCUACAUUCUUGAAAUGCUCUUCUCAUGGGAGAUAUUAAAUAAGCUUUGAAUUAACUGAAGAACCAAUGAUGUGAUCCCUGGAUACUGGCAAUUGUUGCCCAAGAAACCCUCUCCCCUUGCUAUGGGACUGCUGGGCACCCAAAUAAUGCACCCAAAUAAUUUGAUAGCUCUUGUUACACAGCUCUUCUUGGACUAAAAGGCCCUCAGCAUUCCUGUCAAUUUCUACACUCCUGAAGCUUCAUCUGGAGACCUCUGUGGAUUCUAUAACUGAAAGACCCAGGCUGACGGCUGGUGGAAUAGCUACCAUCUCAAACAUGGCGUGAUGCUGCAUCAGAGAGAAAAAUAAGCUCUUGCAUUGGCAAUGAAAUGUCUACCCUGUAGUGACUUGUGCUUACUUCCACUCACAAGUGAUUGCCCAGAGCUACUUACCUGGCUCCAAUCUACCACUGGGUGUGUACUUGCAAUCUACCAUGUACCUAGAAGAUGAGAGAAACAAAUUAUUAAUGAUGACCACACCCCAAGACUAACAACAAUUGCAGAAGAAUCAAUGACUUAAACAAAAAUGUGGCCAUUGAAGGAAUAGAAAAUAUAGUGAGUUUAGUGUAAAUUUAAAAGUGACUUAUAAGUAGCAUACAAAAUCCAGAAACUAUAAGAAAACAGAUUCACAAAUAUAAAUAUAUAAAGCUUUAAAAAAGUUUAAUGUAACAAAAAUGGCAUAAAAGGAGUCAAAAGUUUUUAAAAAAUAUGUUAAUGCAGUAGAUUAGGUGCUAAUUUUCUUAAUAUACUAAUAACUCAAUAAGAGAAAUUUUGUAUCUAGAAGAAAAUGAACAUGGAAAUAGGCAAUUCACAGGUAAUGGCAUUCAUCUGGCGAAUAAAAAAUGUGUGACAUUCAGAAUAAAAUAAAAAUGAAAUACUGGUUUUCAGCCAUCACUUGAGCAAAACUGCAAAGAUACAAUGAGACUCAGGCAUUCCCAUAUACUGUGGAUGGGAGGGCAAAGACCUUUAACCUCUAAUUUUAUUUCUAUUUUUAAACAUGUAUGUUAAAAUUUUAAAUGCUAAUGUCCUCUUGACCCAAUAAUUUUAUGUCUAAGAUUUGAAUCUGGAGAUAAUCUUGAACAAAUGCAUCCAGAUUUAUGUAUAAGUGUUAAUGUAGUUUAGAUGUGUGUUCCCACCCAAAUCUCAUAUUGAAAUGUAAUCCCCAGUGUUGGAGGUGGGUCCUGGUGUGAGGUGAUUGGAUUAUGGGGGUGAAUUUCUCAGAAAUGGUUUAACAUCAUCCCCUAUGGCCCUGUCCUUGCAUAGUGAGGUGAGUUCUUCUGAGAUCUGGUCAUUUAAAGUGUGCAGCACCUCCCCGCCUCACUCUCUCUUGCUCCUGCUUUUGCUAUGUGAUGUGUGAGCUAGUGCUGUGCCUUACACUAUGAUUUGAAGCUCCCUGAGGCCUCCCCAGAAGGAGAUGCUGCCAUGCUUCCUGUACAGCCUGCAGAAUUGUGAGCCAAUUA
Molecule: long non-coding RNA, 4233 nt
Organism: Gorilla gorilla gorilla (western lowland gorilla)
Lineage: Eukaryota; Metazoa; Chordata; Mammalia; Primates; Hominidae
Exons: 6
Source: RefSeq, a predicted model, not a curated record